UGACAUUAGCUGCAGAAUAAGCACCGGCUAACUCUGUGCCAGCAGCCGCGGUAAUACAGAGGGUGCAAGCGUUAAUCGGAAUUACUGGGCGUAAAGCGAGCGUAGGUGGCUUGAUAAGUCAGAUGUGAAAUCCCCGGGCUUAACCUGGGAACUGCAUCUGAAACUGUUAGGCUAGAGUAGGUGAGAGGAAAGUAGAAUUUCAGGUGUAGCGGUGAAAUGCGUAGAGAUCUGAAGGAAUACCGAUGGCGAAGGCAGCUUCCUGGCAUCAUACUGACACUGAGGCUCGAAAGCGUGGGUAGCAAACAGGAUUAGAUACCCUGGUAGUCCACGCCGUAAACGAUGUCUACUAGUCGUUGGGUCCCUUGAGGACUUAGUGACGCAGCUAACGCAAUAAGUAGACCGCCUGGGGAGUACGGCCGCAAGGUUAAAACUCAAAUGAAUUG
RNAcentral lists this ribosomal RNA (443 nucleotides) under uncultured bacterium. RNAcentral describes it as "bacterial SSU rRNA". It matches the Rfam family "Bacterial small subunit ribosomal RNA", at positions 470 to 912 of the family's 1533-position model. The record is from RNAcentral.